This 715-nucleotide ribosomal RNA is filed under the name Rhodococcus sp. 35/s. RNAcentral's name for it is "bacterial SSU rRNA". It matches the Rfam family "Bacterial small subunit ribosomal RNA", at positions 67 to 796 of the family's 1533-position model. The record is from RNAcentral. Lineage: Bacteria; Bacillati; Actinomycetota; Actinomycetes; Mycobacteriales; Nocardiaceae.
CGGUAAGGCCCCUUCGGGGGUACACGAGUGGCGAACGGGUGAGUAACACGUGGGUGAUCUGCCCUGCACUCUGGGAUAAGCCUGGGAAACUGGGUCUAAUACCGGAUAUGACCUUGGACUGCAUGGUUCUUGGUGGAAAGGUUUACUGGUGCAGGAUGGGCCCGCGGCCUAUCAGCUUGUUGGUGGGGUAAUGGCCUACCAAGGCGACGACGGGUAGCCGGCCUGAGAGGGCGACCGGCCACACUGGGACUGAGACACGGCCCAGACUCCUACGGGAGGCAGCAGUGGGGAAUAUUGCACAAUGGGCGAAAGCCUGAUGCAGCGACGCCGCGUGAGGGAUGAAGGCCUUCGGGUUGUAAACCUCUUUCAGCAGGGACGAAGCGAGAGUGACGGUACCUGCAGAAGAAGCACCGGCUAACUACGUGCCAGCAGCCGCGGUAAUACGUAGGGUGCGAGCGUUGUCCGGAAUUACUGGGCGUAAAGAGUUCGUAGGCGGUUUGUCACGUCGUUUGUGAAAACUCACAGCUCAACUGUGAGCCUGCAGGCGAUACGGGCAGACUUGAGUACUGCAGGGGAGACUGGAAUUCCUGGUGUAGCGGUGAAAUGCGCAGAUAUCAGGAGGAACACCGGUGGCGAAGGCGGGUCUCUGGGCAGUAACUGACGCUGAGGAACGAAAGCGUGGGUAGCAAACAGGAUUAGAUACCCUGGGUAGUCA